CUUGUGAUCGGUCGUGUGUUUUAAAAUAAUUUUCUGAUCGAUUUGUCUGCGAAAGUUUAAUUAUAUUAAUAUAUAAAAUGUUCGAUUGAUUGAUUUUUUCUUCUCACUUGGGUUUCUUUAACGUUAGAUAUCGAAUUUCAAUCGAAGUGUAUCGCAGUCACCUUGAAAGUGUAAAUUGAUCAAUAUGCAUUAGUUCGGUUCUUCAUUUACGAUGUCGAAACUGCUGGUUUCCGUUCCCGAUUUUACUGACUCGACGAUUAAACAGGCACUAACUAUAAGUAGCACUAACUAACCCAUAUAGAUAGACGUCUUCGAGCAGAAGGAAAACAUUACUUUCAAUAAUGUCUUCAGAUUAUUCUUCCGCGUUAAGAAGUCCAACCAUUGAAUUCGUUUAUCACUGUUUGUGAGAUACAAUCUAAGGAAACGUGAUUGUAAUUUUCUGUUACGAAGAGUUUAAUAGAAUUUCAAGUGUUUGUCGACCAGCUGCCUCUAACAAACUUCACAAACAGAGUUAAAAAAGAAGAGUUAACUCAUUUUUCUCUCGCCACGGCUCUCAAACGUUUCUUAGCACUUGAUACUUUAAAAUCAUGUAAAUUAUCCAGCAAACAAACACCUCGGCCACGAAUUCGAUAUUCCAAAUAAGUUUAACACUCUCUGUACUAAUGUAAAACAUUUUUUAGCAUUUUUAGAGUUAUUAAUCGUUAAGCAAGAGUUGGAAAAGGCAAUCGCUAUUUGCAAGAGACAGAGAAGGCAAAUUUAUACACUGAACUGAUUCAAUUUGUAUAGAACCAGAAUUGAAUAGAACUGCAUUGAAUUUAAAACCCAGACACGACUUUUCCCUUCGUAUUUCGUUCAAAGAACCUACAAUUUCCACCACAAAAUAUGUUUAAAAGGCCAAAUCACCAAAGCUUUCAUUUCAAAAAGGACGACGAAUUCUGCCCUGUCUAUUCAUAAUCCCCCAAAAACAUUUUCUCUAAAAAAUAACGAAAACUCUGCCUAUUCCUACAGUGUAACAAAAGGAGAAACAUCCUGGAACUUUUUAAUUGGAGCUAUACUCUACAACAAUAUUUCCAAAACUACUUAUAUUCGG
Eufriesea mexicana is the source of this 1090-nucleotide long non-coding RNA. RefSeq lists it as uncharacterized. NCBI's taxonomy places the organism in Eukaryota, Metazoa, Arthropoda, Insecta, Hymenoptera, Apidae. The transcript has 3 exons. The record is from RefSeq and is a predicted model, not a curated record.